This 916-nucleotide ribosomal RNA is filed under the name uncultured bacterium. RNAcentral describes it as "bacterial SSU rRNA". It matches the Rfam family "Bacterial small subunit ribosomal RNA", at positions 246 to 1155 of the family's 1533-position model. The record is from RNAcentral.
UUGUUGGUAAGGUAAAAGCUUACCAAGGCUUCGAUCAGUAGCUGGUCUGAGAGGACGACCAGCCACACUGGGACUGAGACACGGCCCAGACUCCUACGGGAGGCAGCAGUGGGGAAUUUUGGACAAUGGGGGCAACCCUGAUCCAGCCAUGCCGCGUGAGUGAAGAAGGCCUUCGGGUUGUAAAGCUCUUUCAGCCGGAACGAAACGGUUACGGUUAAUACCCGUGACUACUGACGGUACCGGAAAAAGAAGCACCGGCUAACUACGUGCCAGCAGCCGCGGUAAUACGUAGGGUGCGAGCGUUAAUCGGAAUUACUGGGCGUAAAGCGUGCGCAGGUGGUUUUGUAAGUCAGAUGUGAAAGCCCCGGGCUCAACCUGGGAACUGCGUUUGAAACUACAAGACUAGAGUGUGGCAGAGGGGGGUGGAAUUCCGCGUGUAGCAGUGAAAUGCGUAGAGAUGUGGAGGAACACCGAUGGCGAAGGCAGCCCCCUGGGUCAACACUGACGCUCAGGCACGAAAGCAUGGGGAGCAAACAGGAUUAGAUACCCUGGUAGUCCAUGCCCUAAACGAUGUCAACUAGUUGUCGGGCCUUUACGGGCUUGGUAACGUAGCUAACGCGUGAAGUUGACCGCCUGGGGAGUACGAUCGCAAGAUUAAAACUCAAAUGAAUUGACGGGGACCCGCACAAGCGGUGGAUUAUGUGGAUUAAUUCGAUGCAACGCGAAAAACCUUACCUACCCUUGACAUGUAUCGAAGCCCGCAGAAAAGCGGGGGUGCCCGAAAGGGAACGAUAACACAGGUGCUGCAUGGCUGUCGUCAGCUCGUGUCGUGAGAUGUUGGGUUAAGUCCCGCAACGAGCGCAACCCUUGUCAUUAAUUGCCAUCAUUUAGUUGGGCACUUUAAUGAGACUGCCGG